AUAUCAAUAAGCGGAGGAAAAGAAACCAACAGGGAUUGCCUUAGUAACGGCGAGUGAAGUGGCAAAAGCUCAAAUUUGAAAUCUGGCGCCUUUGGUGUCCGAGUUGUAAUUUGAAGAAGGUAACUUUGAGAUUGGCCCUUGCAUAAGUUCCUUGGAACAGGACGUCAUAGAGGGUGAGAAUCCCGUUUAUGGUGAGGUGCCCAAUUUCUUGUAAAGUGCUUUCGAAGAGUCGAGUUGUUUGGGAAUGCAGCUCUAAGUGGGUGGUAAAUUCCAUCUAAGGCUAAAUAUUGGCGAGAGACCGAUAGCGAACAAGUACAGUGAUGGAAAGAUGAAAAGAACUUUGAAAAGAGAGUGAAAAAGUACGUGAAAUUGUUGAAAGGGAAGGGCAUAAGAUCAGACUUGGUAUUCAGUGAUCAACUUUCUUUCGGGAUUGUGCACUCGCUGUUUACUGGGCCAAUAUCAGUUUUGGUGGUAGGAUAAUGAUUUAGGAAUGUGGCUCCUCGGAGUGUUAUAGCCUAGGUUGAUACUACCUACCGGGACUGAGGACAGCGC
This 552-nucleotide ribosomal RNA is filed under the name Sugiyamaella smithiae. Its description in RNAcentral is "eukaryotic LSU rRNA". It matches the Rfam family "Eukaryotic large subunit ribosomal RNA", at positions 40 to 594 of the family's 3401-position model. Lineage: Eukaryota; Fungi; Ascomycota; Dipodascomycetes; Dipodascales; Trichomonascaceae. The record is from RNAcentral.